This 403-nucleotide ribosomal RNA is filed under the name bacterium. RNAcentral's name for it is "partial 16S ribosomal RNA". It matches the Rfam family "Bacterial small subunit ribosomal RNA", at positions 355 to 776 of the family's 1533-position model. The record is from RNAcentral.
UGGGGUAUAUUGCACAAUGGAGGGAACUCUGAUGCAGCGACGCCGCGUGAACGAAGAAGGCUUUCGAGUCGUAAAGUUCUUUUAUAUGGGAAGAUAAUGACGGUACCAUAAGAAAAAGCCCCGGCUAACUACGUGCCAGCAGCCGCGGUAAUACGUAGGGGGCUAGCGUUGUCCGGAAUCACUGGGCGUAAAGGGUUCGCAGGCGGAAAUGCAAGUCAGGUGUAAAAGGCAGUAGCUUAACUACUGUAAGCAUUUGAAACUGCAUAUCUUGAGAAGAGUAGAGGUAAGUGGAAUUUUUAGUGUAGCGGUGAAAUGCGUAGAUAUUAAAAAGAAUACCGGUGGCGAAGGCGGCUUACUGGGCUCAUUCUGACGCUGAGGAACGAAAGAGUGGGUAGCAAACAGG